This 492-nucleotide ribosomal RNA is filed under the name uncultured bacterium. RNAcentral describes it as "partial 16S ribosomal RNA". It matches the Rfam family "Bacterial small subunit ribosomal RNA", at positions 29 to 507 of the family's 1533-position model. The record is from RNAcentral.
AGUGAACGCUGGCGGUAGGCCUAACACAUGCAAGUCGAACGGCAGCACAGUAAGAGCUUGCUCUUACGGGUGGCGAGUGGCGGACGGGUGAGGAAUACAUCGGAAUCUACUUUUUCGUGGGGGAUAACGUAGGGAAACUUACGCUAAUACCGCAUACGACCUACGGGUGAAAGCAGGGGAUCUUCGGACCUUGCGCGAUUGAAUGAGCCGAUGUCGGAUUAGCUAGUUGGCGGGGUAAAGGCCCACCAAGGCGACGAUCCGUAGCUGGUCUGAGAGGAUGAUCAGCCACACUGGAACUGAGACACGGUCCAGACUCCUACGGGGGGCAGCAGUGGGGAAUAUUGGACAAUGGGCGCGAGCCUGAUCCAGCCAUACCGCGUGGGUGAAGAAGGCCUUCGGGUUGUAAAGCCCUUUUGUUGGGAAAGAAAAGCAGCAGGUUAAUACCCCGCUGUUCUGACGGUACCCAAAGAAUAAGCACCGGCUAACUUCGUG